UACAGAGGUCUCGAGCGUUAGGCGGAAUCACUGGGCUUAAAGCGUGUGUAGGUGGAUCGUUAAGUACCUUGUGAAAUCCCCCGGCUUAACCUGGGAACUGCGUCUGAUACUGGAAGGCUUGAGUGCGGGAGAGGGAUGUGGAAUUCCAGGUGUAGCGGUGAAAUGCGUAGAUAUCUGGAGGAACACCGGUGGCGAAGGCGGCAUCCUGGACCGACACUGACGCUGAGGCGCGAAAGCUAGGGUAGCAAACGGG
This 253-nucleotide ribosomal RNA is filed under the name uncultured bacterium. RNAcentral describes it as "partial 16S ribosomal RNA". It matches the Rfam family "Bacterial small subunit ribosomal RNA", at positions 524 to 776 of the family's 1533-position model. The record is from RNAcentral.